RNAcentral lists this long non-coding RNA (288 nucleotides) under Ricinus communis (castor bean). RNAcentral describes it as "long non-coding RNA (RCOM_LNC001900)". The record is from RNAcentral. Lineage: Eukaryota; Viridiplantae; Streptophyta; Magnoliopsida; Malpighiales; Euphorbiaceae.
GGCUCCUUCAAUAGUUGGCAAAAACCUAUCUUAAUCUUAAGUUUUUCUAGGUAUUCCACUCCUCUCUCUUAUUCCAAAUUUUGUGUUUUUGGCCAUGUACGAAUUUUAGAGAAAUGAAGAGGUAAAAUGAGCUUACUCAUGGUUCCAAUUUUCAAUAUUCCUCUCUUAAUGCCACCACCUACUAAACUAUUUUUAUCACCCUAAAUUAAUUCUUACUAACCAUAUAUAGGUACUAACUUUUAAUUGUAUCUUUUAAGUCUAAUCUAUUUACCCAAUCUUCAACUAUUG